GCAGUGGUGGUUCAGUGGUAGAAUUCUCACCUUCUGUGAGGGAGACCUGGGGUCGAUCCCAGCCAGUGCA
Molecule: transfer RNA, 70 nt
Filed under: Loxodonta africana (African savanna elephant)
Lineage: Eukaryota; Metazoa; Chordata; Mammalia; Proboscidea; Elephantidae
Rfam family: tRNA
About the family: Transfer RNA (tRNA) molecules are approximately 80 nucleotides in length. Their secondary structure includes four short double-helical elements and three loops (D, anti-codon, and T loops).
Source: Rfam by way of RNAcentral